RNAcentral lists this ribosomal RNA (266 nucleotides) under uncultured bacterium. RNAcentral's name for it is "partial 16S ribosomal RNA". It matches the Rfam family "Bacterial small subunit ribosomal RNA", at positions 793 to 1055 of the family's 1533-position model. The record is from RNAcentral.
GUCCACGCUGUAAACGAUGAAUACUAGGUGUGGGAGGACUGACCCCUUCCGUGCCGCAGUUAACACAAUAAGUAUUCCACCUGGGGAGUACGAUCGCAAGAUUGAAACUCAAAGGAAUUGACGGGGGCCCGCACAAGCAGUGGAUUAUGUGGUUUAAUUCGACGCAACGCGAAGAACCUUACCGGGAUUUGACAUCCAACUAACGAAGUAGAGAUACAUUAGGUGCCCUUCGGGGAAAGUUGAGACAGGUGGUGCAUGGUUGUCGU